RNAcentral lists this ribosomal RNA (469 nucleotides) under Streptococcus sobrinus. RNAcentral's name for it is "bacterial SSU rRNA". It matches the Rfam family "Bacterial small subunit ribosomal RNA", at positions 28 to 477 of the family's 1533-position model. The record is from RNAcentral. Lineage: Bacteria; Bacillati; Bacillota; Bacilli; Lactobacillales; Streptococcaceae.
GACGAACGCUGGCGGCGUGCCUAAUACAUGCAAGUGGAACGCAUUGGUAACACCGGACUUGCUCCAGUGUUACUAAUGAGUCGCGAACGGGUGAGUAACGCGUAGGUAACCUGCCUGAUAGCGGGGGAUAACUAUUGGAAACGAUAGCUAAUACCGCAUAAGAGGAGUUAACUCAUGUUAACUGUUUAAAAGAAGCAAUGGCUUCACUAUCAGAUGGACCUGCGUUGUAUUAGCUAGUAGGUAGGGUAACGGCCUACCUAGGCAACGAUACAUAGCCGACCUGAGAGGGUGAACGGCCACACUGGGACUGAGACACGGCCCAGACUCCUACGGGAGGCAGCAGUAGGGAAUCUUCGGCAAUGGACGCAAGUCUGACCGAGCAACGCCGCGUGAGUGAAGACGGUUUUCGGAUCGUAAAGCUCUGUUGUAGGGGAAGAACGUGUGUAAGAGUGGAAAUGCUUACACAGUG